RNAcentral lists this ribosomal RNA (515 nucleotides) under uncultured bacterium. RNAcentral's name for it is "bacterial SSU rRNA". It matches the Rfam family "Bacterial small subunit ribosomal RNA", at positions 466 to 980 of the family's 1533-position model. The record is from RNAcentral.
CUAAUGACGGUACCGUAAGAAUAAGCACCGGCUAACUACGUGCCAGCAGCCGCGGUAAUACGUAGGGUGCAAGCGUUAAUCGGAAUUACUGGGCGUAAAGCGUGCGCAGGCGGUUAUGUAAGACAGUUGUGAAAAUCCCCGGGCUCAACCUGGGAACUGCAUCUGUGACUGCAUAGCUAGAGUACGGUAGAGGGGGAUGGAAUUCCACGUGUAGCAGUGAAAUGCGUAGAGAUGUGGAGGAACACCGAUGGCGAAGGCAGUCCCCUGGGAUAAGACUGACGCUCAUGCACGAAAGCGUGGGGAGCAAACAGGAUUAGAUACCCUGGUAGUCCACGCCCUAAACGAUGUCUACUAGUUGUUGGGGUAGCAAUACCUCAGUGACGCAGCUAACGCGUGAAGUAGACCGCCUGGGGAGUACGGUCGCAAGAUUAAAACUCAAAGGAAUUGACGGGGCCCGCACAAGCGGUGGAUUAUGUGGAUUAAUUCGAUGCAACGCGAAAAAACCUUACCUGGCC